Molecule: ribosomal RNA, 471 nt
Filed under: uncultured organism
Description: bacterial SSU rRNA
Rfam family: Bacterial small subunit ribosomal RNA
Source: RNAcentral
GACGAACGCUGGCGGCGUGCUUAACACAUGCAAGUCGAACGGGAAUAUCCGAGUAGUAAUACGAGGAUAUUUUAGUGGCGGACGGGUGAGUAACGCGUGAGCAACCUGCCUUUCAGUGGGGGACAACAGUUGGAAACGACUGCUAAUACCGCAUGAUGUAUUGAGACGACAUCGUCUUAAUACCAAAGAUUUAUCGCUGAAAGAUGGGCUCGCGUCUGAUUAGCUAGUUGGUAGGGUAACGGCCUACCAAGGCGACGAUCAGUAGCCGGACUGAGAGGUUGGCCGGCCACAUUGGGACUGAGAUACGGCCCAGACUCCUACGGGAGGCAGCAGUGGGGAAUAUUGGGCAAUGGGCGCAAGCCUGACCCAGCAACGCCGCGUGAAGGAAGAAGGCUUUCGGGUUGUAAACUUCUUUGACCAGGGACGAAAGAAAUGACGGUACCUGGAAAACAAGCCACGGCUAACUACGUG